UACGUAGGGUCCGAGCGUUGUCCGGAAUUACUGGGCGUAAAGAGCUCGUAGGUGGUUUGUCGCGUUGUUCGUGAAAACUCACAGCUCAACUGUGGGCGUGCGGGCGAUACGGGCAGACUUGAGUACUGCAGGGGAGACUGGAAUUCCUGGUGUAGCGGUGGAAUGCGCAGAUAUCAGGAGGAACACCGGUGGCGAAGGCGGGUCUCUGGGCCGAUACUGACGCUGAGACGCGAAAGCGUGGGGAGCAAACAGG
This 253-nucleotide ribosomal RNA is filed under the name uncultured bacterium. RNAcentral describes it as "partial 16S ribosomal RNA". It matches the Rfam family "Bacterial small subunit ribosomal RNA", at positions 524 to 776 of the family's 1533-position model. The record is from RNAcentral.